Tyto alba (common barn owl) is the source of this 243-nucleotide long non-coding RNA. RefSeq lists it as uncharacterized. The record is from RefSeq and is a predicted model, not a curated record. Lineage: Eukaryota; Metazoa; Chordata; Aves; Strigiformes; Tytonidae. The transcript has 3 exons.
CUGGAAGAGAAGGAUGUAGGAGCAUGUACACAGAAGGUAGCUAUGACCAGGAUGGCUUCUCUGCAAGUCUGUGACCCCAAGGUCCUCACCAGCUCCCCGGAGCAGCUCGGUUCUCACAGAUCCGUGUAGGAGUACUGCUUGUCCUGAACCGCUGUUGUCUUUCCAGUAUCUUAAGUUUUUUCACUCUCAUUGCCCACCUGCAACUCCGAUUCUAUUUCUGAAGGAUGGUAGAAGGCUUAAAUC